CAUAAUGCACGCUACAUGUGGCUUUGAAGCAAUUAUUAGUGAGACCACUUUCCACAUUGGCGGGACUUUGUGGGAGUGUCAUAGAUUCUCUGCUUGGAGCCACAUUACAGUUGAGUGGAUUUUGUACGGUUCGGAAUAAGGUUGUUGGUAAACCGGGGCCGACAGUCGAGGAUUUCAGGACUCAGCAUUUUGGACAACAAUGCUGUGAACCUUGUUUCGAUAUUGAUGACCACUAUGCUGACCUCCAUGGCCCGCGUGUACAUCUUCUGAAGUCGUCUGUUCUAACUGAAUAAUUCUAGAUAGAUCGCAGAGUUGAUUCUCGCAGGACCCUAACUGAAUAACUCCUGCGAGAUUGCAAAGUUCUUGCAGGGCCCUAUGCAAUCACAUAAUUGUUCCUUUUGUAACCUGUGAACCGGGCAAACCUAAUAAUCCGUGUGAAGGUUCUCGAGUUGGCUACGAAUUGAAGAAAUAUUGAAGACAAUUGUUUAUCAUCUUACUUUAGAGCAAACAGCUACUUUCAGCAGGGAAAAAUUCUGAUUUUCUGGUUCUUGUUUUCGGGUAGAAAUAGGAAAGGAAGCACAUGUAGCAUGAAGUUUAUUUUCGUUGCUUCGAAUAUUUUCUACUCAUUUAGUUUCUUGACAUAACUCGAGUCACAAAGUACAAGCAUUUCGCAGUCAGAAGCGCCCUCGUGGCCAAGAAUUCGUAUGCCUGAAAUGGCAUUCGCUCAGAUCAGAUUAAGAGAAUCUAUUAACCCAGAAUUGCUAUGGAACACACCUAAAGCCUAAUGAGUUAUCAGAUUGGCGAAGCUCGUCCUCACGGUUCAUACCUCGUGGUAAGGGUAUAUUAGAAGAUAUACAUGAACCGAGACCUCCUAUUAUUUCAAAGUGGAUACACUGAAGAAGCCAGAUCUACAGAACAUCAUGAGAAACUGAGGGAGUGAUAUCCAUGAAAUUCAUGCGUGUUGUUUAUUUUAGGGGCAGCAACAACAGAGCAUCUCCAAGCAGUACUCGCAAGUCUCGAAGCAGCAGAAGCAGCAACACAGCGCGAACAGGCUGCACUUUCCAAGACCAUUGCCAUAAAAGGAAAGAAAAACGUCAAUACACAUGAAGCGAUGACAAAGGAUAUGAUGAUGAUGAUGACGACCACAAUACACAGGUUUUCGUGAAAAUAUGUCAAACAUAUGUGGUCUUAGAUCAUAUGUGAUUGAUCACUGCUAGACAUGAUUAGCAAAACGCCAAAACUUAGACCAUUAUUAGUGCAUAAAAGGACGAAAGCGAGAGAGCCACCGAUGAACGAUUGCGAGUGAUGACCACAAGAAAAAGA
Long non-coding RNA from Syzygium oleosum, 1323 nucleotides. RefSeq lists it as uncharacterized. The transcript has 3 exons. The record is from RefSeq and is a predicted model, not a curated record. NCBI's taxonomy places the organism in Eukaryota, Viridiplantae, Streptophyta, Magnoliopsida, Myrtales, Myrtaceae.